Molecule: ribosomal RNA, 526 nt
Filed under: Schwarzula timida
Lineage: Eukaryota; Metazoa; Arthropoda; Insecta; Hymenoptera; Apidae
Description: partial 16S ribosomal RNA
Rfam family: Bacterial large subunit ribosomal RNA (bases 374-526)
Source: RNAcentral
GUCUUAUUGAUAAUAAUUUUAAGUCAAUCUGCCCAAUGAAAUAUUUUAAUGGCUGCAGUAUAAAUAACUGUGCAAAGGUAGCAUAAUCAAUUGAUUUUUAAAUGAAAUCUGGAAUGAAAGGAUUAAUGAAAUAUAUACUGUCUCAUAUUUAUUUUAUAAAUUUAAAAUUUUAAUAAAAAUGUUAAAAUUUAUUUAUGGGACGAUAAGACCCUAUAGAAUUUUAUAUUAAUUUAAUUUUAUAAUUAAUUUAAAAUUUAAUUUAAUAUUUAAUUGGGAGAAUUAUUAAAUUUAUUAAAUUUUGAUUAAUAAAAACUUAAAUUAAAGAAAAUAUUUUGAUCUUAAAUUUUAAAUUAUUUGAUUAAAUUACCUUAGGGAUAACAGCGUUAUAUUUUUUUAUAGAUCUUAUAGAAAAAAAUGAUUGCGACCUCGAUGUUGAAUUAAGAUAAAUUUUAAAUGCAGAAAUUUAAUGAUUAAGUCUGUUCGACUUUUAAAAUCUUACAUGAUUUGAGUUCAAAUCGACGUAAGU